RNAcentral lists this ribosomal RNA (272 nucleotides) under Salmonella enterica subsp. enterica serovar Infantis. Its description in RNAcentral is "partial 23S ribosomal RNA". It matches the Rfam family "Bacterial large subunit ribosomal RNA", at positions 2036 to 2307 of the family's 2925-position model. Lineage: Bacteria; Pseudomonadati; Pseudomonadota; Gammaproteobacteria; Enterobacterales; Enterobacteriaceae. RNAcentral also lists the same sequence under 8 other names. The record is from RNAcentral.
GUGAAAUUGAACUCGCUGUGAAGAUGCAGUGUACCCGCGGCAAGACGGAAAGACCCCGUGAACCUUUACUAUAGCUUGACACUGAACAUUGAGCCUUGAUGUGUAGGAUAGGUGGGAGGCUUUGAAGUGUGGACGCCAGUCUGCAUGGAGCCGACCUUGAAAUACCACCCUUUAAUGUUUGAUGUUCUAACGUGGACCCGUAAUCCGGGUUGCGGACAGUGUCUGGUGGGUAGUUUGACUGGGGCGGUCUCCUCCUAAAGAGUAACGGAGGA